This 253-nucleotide ribosomal RNA is filed under the name uncultured bacterium. Its description in RNAcentral is "partial 16S ribosomal RNA". It matches the Rfam family "Bacterial small subunit ribosomal RNA", at positions 524 to 776 of the family's 1533-position model. The record is from RNAcentral.
UACGUAGGCAGCAAGCGUUGUUCGGAGUUACUGGGCGUAAAGAGUGCGUAGGCGGUCCUAUAAGUAUGGUGUGAAAUCUCCUGGCUUAACUGGGAGGGUGCGCCGGAAACUGGGGUGCUCGAGCGUGGGAGAGGAAAGCGGAAUUCCUGGUGUAGCGGUGAAAUGCGUAGAUAUCAGGAGGAACACCCGUGGUGUAGACAGCUUUCUGGACCAUUGCUGACGCUGAGACACGAAAGCGUGGGUAGCAAACAGG